RNAcentral lists this ribosomal RNA (1459 nucleotides) under metagenome. RNAcentral's name for it is "bacterial SSU rRNA". It matches the Rfam family "Bacterial small subunit ribosomal RNA". The record is from RNAcentral.
AUGCAAGUCGAACGAGAAAGUUUCCUUCGGGAAGCGAGUAAAGUGGCGCACGGGUCCGUAACACGUGGAUAAUCUGCCCUCGGGAGGAGAAUAACCCGUCGAAAGAUGGAUUAAUACUCCGUAAGACCACGGAAUCUUAGGAUUUCGCGGUAAAAGGUGGCCUCUAUUUAUAAGCUAUCGCCUGAGGAUGAGUCUGCGCACCAUUAGUUUGUUGGUGGGGUAAUGGCUCACCAAGACCGAGAUGGUUAGCUGGUCUGAGAGGAUGACCAGCGACACUGGAACUGAGACACGGUCCAGACUCCUACGGGAGGCAGCAGUGGGGAAUAUUGGACAAUGGGCGAAAGCCUGAUCCAGCAACGCCGCGUGAGUGAUGAAGGCCUUCGGGUUGUAAAGCUCUGUCAGUUGGAACGAAAAAGGAUAACCUAAUACGUUAUCCCUUGACGGUACCUUCAAAGGAAGCACCGGCUAACUCUGUGCCAGCAGCCGCGGUAAGACAGAGGGUGCAAGCGUUGUUCGGAAUCACUGGGCGUAAAGGGCGUGUAGGCGGCAGGGUGUGUCUGGCGUGAAAGACCUCGGCUCAACCGAGGAAGGGCACUGGAUACUACCUUGCUAGAGUACGAUAGGGGAUGGCGGAAUUCCUGGUGUAGAGGUGAAAUUCGUAGAUACCAGGAGGAAUACCUGAGGCGAAGGCGGCCAUCUGGAUCGUAACUGACGCUGAGACGCGAAAGCAUGGGUAGCAAACAGGAUUAGAUACCCUGGUAGUCCAUGCCGUAAACGAUGAUGACUAGGUGUCGGGGGAAUUGACCCCUUCGGCGCCGACGCUAACGCAUUAAGUCAUCCGCCUGGGGAGUACGGUCGCAAGACUAAAACUCAAAGGAAUUGACGGGGGCCCGCACAAGCGGUGGAGUAUGUGGUUUAAUUCGACGACGCGAAGAACCUUACCUGGAUUAGAAACCAAGUGGAAGUUUUGCAGAGAUGUGAGGCGUUCUCUUCGGAGAACUGCUUGGCAGGUGCUGCAUGGCUGUCGUCAGCUCGUGUCGUGAGAUGUUGGGUUAAGUCCCGCAACGAGCGCAACCCCUUUCCCUUGUUGCCAUCAUUAAGUUGGGAACUCUAGGGAUACUGUCGGCGUCAAACCGGAGGAAGGUGGGGAUGACGUCAAGUCCUCAUGGCCCUUGAUGUCCAGGGCUACACACGUACUACAAUGGUCGGUACAAACCGUUGCCAACCCGCGAGGGGGAGCCAAUCGGAAAAAGCCGGCCUCAGUUCGGAUUGGAGGCUGCAACUCGCCUCCAUGAAGCUGGAAUCGCUAGUAGUCGCGGAUCAGCAAGCCGCGGUGAAUACGUUCCCGGGCCUUGUACACACCGCCCGUCACACCACGAAAGUUUGUUGGACCUGAAGCCUUGAGGUUUUCUCAAGUCGACGGUCUGAUAGAUGAUUGGGGUGAAGUCGUAACAAGGUA